AACGCCAAGACCGUGAGGAACGACAACUCCUCGCGCUUUGGCAAAUUCAUCAGAAUUCAUUUUGGUGCCACAGGAAAACUGGCUUCUGCAGAUAUUGAAACAUAUCUGCUGGAGAAGUCCAGAGUCACUUUCCAGCUCAAAGCGGAAAGGAGCUACCACAUCUUUUAUCAGAUCAUGUCCAACAAGAAGCCAGAG
Long non-coding RNA from Neopelma chrysocephalum (saffron-crested tyrant-manakin), 195 nucleotides. RefSeq lists it as uncharacterized. Lineage: Eukaryota; Metazoa; Chordata; Aves; Passeriformes; Pipridae. The transcript is spliced from 3 exons. The record is from RefSeq and is a predicted model, not a curated record.